RNAcentral lists this ribosomal RNA (541 nucleotides) under Holothuria parva. RNAcentral describes it as "partial 16S ribosomal RNA". It matches the Rfam family "Bacterial large subunit ribosomal RNA", at positions 1878 to 2639 of the family's 2925-position model. Lineage: Eukaryota; Metazoa; Echinodermata; Holothuroidea; Aspidochirotida; Holothuriidae. The record is from RNAcentral.
GGGGGGUACUAGAGAUCGCGAGUGCCAGUGGCCUGAGGCUAAACGGCCGCGGUAUCUUGACCGUGCAAAGGUAGCAUAAUCACUUGUCUUUUAAAUGGAGACUCGUAUGAACGGCGGAACCUUUUUCAACUGUCUCUUCCCCCACCCUUCUAAAUUCUUUCCUGUGUGAAGAAACCCAGAUACAUCAGAAAGACGAGAAGACCCUGUCGAGCUUUAACCACUAGGUGAGUUUACUUAUCCCUUUUUAAAUAUCACCAAAAGGUUUUGGUUGGGGCAACCACGGAGAAAAAAAAUCCUCCAGAUUAAAUAGAAGAAAACUCUUCACUAUUACGCUUUCAAGAACCAGGAACUGGUAAUCGGAAAAAGUUACCGCAGGGAUAACAGCGUUAUCUCCUCUAAGAGUCCUUAUUGACGAGGAGGUUUGCGACCUCGAUGUUGGAUUGGGGCCCCCUUAGGGUGCAGAAGCUCUAAACGGUUAGACUGUUCGUCUAUUAAAGCCCUACAUGAUCUGAGUAAAAACCCGGGAGAAAGAAUAGGGAAA